This 524-nucleotide ribosomal RNA is filed under the name uncultured archaeon. RNAcentral's name for it is "bacterial SSU rRNA". It matches the Rfam family "Archaeal small subunit ribosomal RNA", at positions 325 to 848 of the family's 1478-position model. The record is from RNAcentral.
ACGGGGGUGCAGCAGGCGCGAAAAUUCCACAAUGCACGCAAGUGUGAUGGAGGGAUUCAGAGUGUAUCUUUCAUUUUGGAAGGUGCUUUUGUUGAUUCUAAAUAGCUCAACGAAUAAGCGGUGGGUAAGACAGGUGCCAGCCGCCGCGGUAAUACCUGCGCCGCGAGUGGUGACCUCGAUUAUUGGGUUUAAAGUGUCCGUAGCCGGUUUGGUAAGUUCUUAAUGAAAUUCCAUGGACAACUAUGGAGCUUGUUGAGGAUACUACCAGACUAGAGACCGGGAGAUGUCAAGGGUAUUUCUGGGGUAGGGGUUAAAUCCUGUAAUCCUAGGAGGACCGCCUGUGGCGAAGGCGCUUGACUAGAACGGAUCUGACGGUGAGGGACGAAAGCUAGGGGAGCGAAGCGGAUUAGAUACCCGCGUAGUCCUAGCUGUAAACGAUAUCCACUAGAUGUUGGAUGUCUCACGAGGGCAUCCAGUUUCGUAGGAAACCGUUAAGUGGAUCGCCUGGGAGUACGUUCGCAAGG